This 543-nucleotide ribosomal RNA is filed under the name Triticum aestivum (bread wheat). RNAcentral's name for it is "partial small subunit ribosomal RNA". The record is from RNAcentral. Lineage: Eukaryota; Viridiplantae; Streptophyta; Magnoliopsida; Poales; Poaceae.
AUGCAACGAUCCCCAUCACAACCACUAGCAACCCCUUUGCCUCUUCCUGCCGGGAUCGGAAACCCCUUCUACGGUCCCUCCGUGGCAACCAUUAGUGAUGUUCCGAUCUCCGAGCAUGUUCCGGUGAAACUCUCUCACUCCAAGGCCAACUUCUACGCAUGGAAGACAUACUUUGAUCUUCUCUUCCGUGAGUACGAUCUUCUUGAUGAUGUCGACAGAACAGUCAAUCUCUUCGGCAUGGUUGCUGAGUGGAGGGCCAUCGACGCUACCAUGGUGCGUUGGUUCUUCCUCACUGUCUCCAAGGAGAUCCUUGGCACCUUCGUUUGUGCUGGUGACACUGCACACACGAUGUGGACCAAAAUCGCCGACCUCUUGACUGACAAUAGGCUGCAGCGCAUUGUUUGUCUUCAACAUGAGUUAUUUGGUUUACACCAGAACGACUCCUCUAUCGACGAGUACUUGAUAUGUCUUCAAUGUAUCUAUAAUUUUUUAUUGUUUCAUGCUACUAGAUUAUCAAUCUUGGAUGCUUUCUAUGCUAUUUAA